This 230-nucleotide unclassified non-coding RNA is filed under the name Hevea brasiliensis (rubber tree). Lineage: Eukaryota; Viridiplantae; Streptophyta; Magnoliopsida; Malpighiales; Euphorbiaceae. The record is from RNAcentral.
GGAGUGUGGGAUUUUGGGUCAAGAAACGUCUUAUACAUGAAACUUCUGUAUUCCAGACUACCUGGCUGCAACAUACGAAGAUCUCUAUGGGAUCAUGCCCCAAAUGAGAAGUCAAAGAAAGUACCUUCUGUAAAUAAUAACAACUCUGGUGACUCAAAUUCAGGUUCAAUAGAAAACACUGUGGGCAAGAAGUUGGCAAAGUUUGUUGAUAUGUCUGAGAUGAGCAAGGG